Molecule: ribosomal RNA, 420 nt
Filed under: uncultured bacterium
Lineage: Bacteria
Description: bacterial SSU rRNA
Rfam family: Bacterial small subunit ribosomal RNA
Source: RNAcentral
GAGGAAUAUUGGUCAAUGGGUGCAAGCCUGAACCAGCCAUCCCGCGUGAAGGACGACUACCCUAUGGGUUGUAAACUUCUUUUGUAUAGGGAUAAACCUACUCUCGUGAGGGUAGCUGAAGGUACUAUACGAAUAAGCACCGGCUAACUCCGUGCCAGCAGCCGCGGUAAUACGGAGGGUGCAAGCGUUAUCCGGAUUUAUUGGGUUUAAAGGGUCCGUAGGCGGACUUAUAAGUCAGUGGUGAAAGCCUGUCGCUUAACGAUAGAACUGCCAUUGAUACUGUAGGUCUUGAGUAUAUUUGAGGUAGCUGGAAUAAGUAGUGUAGCGGUGAAAUGCAUAGAUAUUACUUAGAACACCAAUUGCGAAGGCAGGUUACCAAGAUAUAACUGACGCUGAGGGACGAAAGCGUGGGGAGCGAAC